GGGCGGGACGGUUGAAAAAUGGCGGGAGAUUCCGCUCCCCCUCACGGCGGGCGGCGGGACCGACCCCGCGCGCGCGCCCCGACCCUGCCGCCCCGCCCCACAACUCCCACCCCCCACGCCGCGGUGCCGACAGUCUAUUGGCGGGACGCCCGAGUCGCCAGCUGCGGAUUGGCCGCACGGCCGGUCGAUCGCGCCGCCGCGCCCCACCCCGCCGGCUCGGCGGGGUGAGAGGUCACGUUAUGUAAGUAGCGGCGCACUGCGCGGCUCCAUUUUGUGGCCCCCCGUUAUUCGCCCUCCCCACUGUCUCGUGACGGCCAACCACAGCGCACUCCGCCCCCUCCAGUCCCGCGGCCACCAAUCAGAGCGCGUUCUGGCCACCGCCUCUUCUCGCGCCUAUCCGGCUACCGCGGCGGGGCGCGCGCUGGGCUUUGUCCUCCGCGUCUAGCGCGGGGCAUUGUGGGGUUGUAGGGGUGUCUAUGGCGGGCGCAGCUGCCCUCUUAGGAAGGCCCGGGCCGGGUCCAGCCGUGCGAGCUCUCAGCGUCUCCUCGGCGCUGAGUCCCUCCGCUCCGCAGGGAAGCGGAGCGGCGGCUCCGGUGGGCUGGCCUCCGGGGCAGAUGAGGAGGAAGAGGAGAGGAAGGGAGCCGCGGCCUGACGGCUGUGGGGGAAGUGGGGAAGGAAGCCCAGCCAUCCCGUGGGUGCUGCUCCUGGGAAUGGAGGAAAACAAAAAUUUCGAGAGGUGUGGGGAGGUUGAUGCAUCAAGCCCUGCCUGCCUGCCUCUCUCAGGAAACCUCAGAGGUGAAGGUUCGGAUUUAGACUGGAUAUUAGGAAAAAAUUCUUUCCUGUGA
RNAcentral lists this long non-coding RNA (845 nucleotides) under Parus major (Great Tit). RNAcentral describes it as "lncRNA (ENSPMJG00000018838.1)". Lineage: Eukaryota; Metazoa; Chordata; Aves; Passeriformes; Paridae. The record is from RNAcentral.